RNAcentral lists this long non-coding RNA (221 nucleotides) under Vigna radiata. RNAcentral describes it as "long non-coding RNA (VRAD_LNC004539)". Lineage: Eukaryota; Viridiplantae; Streptophyta; Magnoliopsida; Fabales; Fabaceae. The record is from RNAcentral.
UCGGAGUGCCUUUGACAGGUACCUGCCCACCCGGUCUAGAGAACGAGGAGGGAGAACCAACUUGGAGCACGAGGAAACAACAAGGAAACCGUUUGGCCUUCAACAGGUUACCAUCCAGCCUUCAGCAGAUUGUUCGGCCAUCCACAACAGAAAAAGUAUCCAGUCUUCAUGGACCGUCCGGCCUUCCCCGCCACCUAGAACGCUCCAGGGCUCGUCCAUCC